AUUGAACGCUGGCGGCAUGCCUUACACAUGCAAGUCGAACGGUAACAGGUCUUCGGAUGCUGACGAGUGGCGAACGGGUGAGUAAUACAUCGGAACGUGCCCGAUCGUGGGGGAUAACGAGGCGAAAGCUUUGCUAAUACCUCAUACGAUCUACGGAUGAAAGCGGGGGAUCUUCGGACCUCGCGCGGACGGAGCGGCCGAUUGCAGAUUAGGUAGUUGGUGGGAUAAAAGCUUACCAAGCCGACGAUCUGUAGCUGGUCUGAGAGGAUGAUCAGCCACACUGGGACUGAGACACGGCCCAGACUCCUACGGGAGGCAGCAGUGGGGAAUUUUGGACAAUGGGCGAAAGCCUGAUCCAGCCAUGCCGCGUGAAGGAUGAAGGCCUUCGGGUUGUAAACUGCUUUUGUACGGAACGAAAAGCCUCUUUCUAAUAAAGAGGGGUCAUGACGGUACCGUAAGAAUAAGCACCGGCUAACUACGUG
This 482-nucleotide ribosomal RNA is filed under the name uncultured bacterium. RNAcentral describes it as "partial 16S ribosomal RNA". It matches the Rfam family "Bacterial small subunit ribosomal RNA", at positions 30 to 507 of the family's 1533-position model. The record is from RNAcentral.